Molecule: long non-coding RNA, 543 nt
Filed under: Homo sapiens (human)
Lineage: Eukaryota; Metazoa; Chordata; Mammalia; Primates; Hominidae
Description: HSALNT0221976
Source: RNAcentral
UAGGCUCAAACACAUCUUUAUUCAUCAAAAUAGGAAACAUUACAAUCAACACAUUUUUGCCAAUGAGAAAUAAGUUUAUUUAUUCCUGUAGUGUAAAAAUGUGUGAUCUGGGAUUCGAUAAACUCUUGGAAAGCUUUUUCUGCAUUCUGGUUGUGGAAACAUCUUCCCUGCAAAAAGUUGCUGAGAUGCUUGAAGAAGUGGUAGUCAGUUGGCAAGAAGUCAGGUGAAUACGGUGGAUGAGGCAAAACUUUGUGCCCAAUUCAUUCAACUUUUGAAGCGUUGGUUGUGCGACGCAUUGUCAGGCAUUGUUGUGCCGAAGGACUGGGCCCUUUAUGUUGAUCAAUGCUGGCUGCAGGCGUUGCAGCUUUCCAUGCAUCUCAGAGAUUUGUUGAGCAUACUUCUCAGAUGUAAUGGUUUUGCUGGAACUCAGAAAGCUGUAGUGGAUCAGACCGGCAGCAGACCAUCAAACAGUGACCAUUAACAUUUUGGUAGAAGUUUGGCUUUGGGAAGUGCUCUGGAGCUUCUUCUCAGUCCAACCACCAA